This 345-nucleotide ribosomal RNA is filed under the name Triticum aestivum (bread wheat). RNAcentral's name for it is "partial small subunit ribosomal RNA". The record is from RNAcentral. Lineage: Eukaryota; Viridiplantae; Streptophyta; Magnoliopsida; Poales; Poaceae.
AUGAACCUUGCUGAAAAUGGCGUGUCCUAUUAUGGUCGGUUAUCUGACAUCUUCGAAUUGUCAUACAAAGAUUACAAGGUGGUCUUCUUUAAAUGUUAUUGGUAUGAUGUUCAUCACAAAGCUGGUAUUAUAAGAGAUGAGUUUGGAUUCACUCAUGUGAACUUCUCCCGAAAAAUACAUACAGGGGAGAAGUUAGAGGAUGAACCUUUUGUAUUUUCUUCCCAAGUGGAUCAGGUCUUCUAUAUCCAAAAUCCGAGAAGUGAGAAUUGGAAUAGCAUGGUGAAAUUCAAACCUCGUGAUAUUUUUGACAUGGGUGGAGAACCAUCUUCAGAUGAAACAGAGUAG